GAGAUUGUCACAACGUGCUCUAAGGUGUCACCAGGGAGAUUGUCAGCACGCGUCACAACGUGCUCUAAGGUGUCACCAGGGAGAUUGUCAGCACGCGUCACAACGUGCUCUUUGGAAAUGCCAAGUUAUUUUCUUUCUUUCUUCUUUCCUGGAAAAUAUUGACGUUGACAAAUUGGAUUCCUGGUCUGUCUCGUCUCUUGGUUUCUCCUUGGCAGCACAGUGGUAAUAGAGGCGGCUAGCUGCCAACGGCUACAAAGGACAGAUUGCUGAACAACAUGGUAAUGAUGAUGAUACGUGAUAAACCGAUCAGAAGUUCAGAGGGUUAAAGCAGAAGGAACAUUUCCUUUGGAACCUUCUGUACGUUCCCACAGUGUCAAU
Long non-coding RNA from Oncorhynchus tshawytscha (Chinook salmon), 378 nucleotides. NCBI's taxonomy places the organism in Eukaryota, Metazoa, Chordata, Actinopteri, Salmoniformes, Salmonidae. The record is from Ensembl.